This 508-nucleotide long non-coding RNA is filed under the name Cercocebus atys (sooty mangabey). Its description in RNAcentral is "lncRNA (ENSCATG00000045387.1)". The record is from RNAcentral. Lineage: Eukaryota; Metazoa; Chordata; Mammalia; Primates; Cercopithecidae.
AAAAGAUACAUUAUGUCAUUCUUCUGAUUAUGAAUUUAAUUAAAAUCCUGAUUCCUGGAUGGUAUCGUGGGCCUAUUGAAUGAGAAUCUCUGGAACUAGAACUUGAAAUCUGCAUUUUAACAAAUGAGUCUGGUGAUUUUUAGCAUUCUAACAUUGGAGAACUACUGGUGAUGGAGAGUUCAGAUGACCAAUGGUGAAUUUUAUCUCACAUUACUAGCUUCUUCAGUUUUCUUCCCCUCAGUGCUCAGACCACACAGCAUGCCCUGUGGUACAGGAGAAAUAUGGAGAAUGCAGCACACUUGCUUCCUACCGAAGUAGGUAUUUUCUUUCCAGAUUUCCUUCAGUUGUGAAGUCUGACGAUUUCAAUUUUUUUGGAUGAAAUAGAAAAUGCUCACCUAAAAAUGUAAGUCAGAUUUGUUAAAAUCACUUCCAAAGGAUACUGAUAUGUCAGGUAGCGUUUGCAUACACAAUAAUUUCUUUAAAAUACAUUUUCCAAGUGGAUUUAUUA